GAUGAAGAACGCAGCGAAAUGCGAUACGUAGUGUGAAUUGCAGAAUUCAGUGAAUCAUCGAAUCUUUGAACGCCCAUUGCACCUCUCGGUAUUCCGGGAGGUAUGCCUGUUCGAGCGUCAUUUGUACCCUCAAGCUCUGCUUGGUGUUGGGUGUUUGUUCCGCCUCUGUGUGUGAACUCGCCUCAAAACAAUUGGCAGCCGGCGUACUUGUUUCGGAGCGCAGCACAUUUUGCGAUCCAGAUCAACGUACAGCGGCAUCCAAGAAGCCUUAUUUAACGCUCUUGACCUCGGAUCAGGUAGGGAUACCCGCUGAACUUAAGCAUAUCAAUAAGCGGAGGA
Molecule: unclassified non-coding RNA, 339 nt
Filed under: soil metagenome
Description: partial contains 5.8S ribosomal RNA, internal transcribed spacer 2, and large subunit ribosomal RNA
Rfam family: 5.8S ribosomal RNA (bases 1-120)
Source: RNAcentral